AAAUAUGAGAAAAUUAUCGAGUUUGCCGACAGACGAAAAAGGAAAAUGACUCUUGGCUCUUUGAUGUACUGGGAUAAGAAUCAAGAAAACACAUGUAUUACCUUUUCACAUACGAAGAUACUUAUAGAAUACGUUGAAUCGUUUACGGUAGUAUCAAUUGGAGUUAAAAAAGUUUCACGAGAGUCAGAGUUUCCCGUUUCCCAUUGACUCUAUAAUUUAAUUUUCCAAAUUGAACGGUAAGCUAACGAUGAUACAUGGUAUCUUCCAAAAAUUCCUAUCAAGGAAACGACGUCAUCGUUCCAUCACGAAAUUAGUACGAUGAGGUGCGCUUCGAGGAACUUUCAAAAGUGCUCAGAUAUGAAAGGCGUCAUAAUCCUGGAAUUAAAAAAGACGAUUAAGCAUGCGGAAAGUUGAUAGAUGAAAUGUUUAACAUCCAAGUUUAUGCCUCGCCUUUAGCAGCUGUUUUACUUUUGGUGUCAUUAUCCGUUUGGCUUUGUAUAUGUCGAUGGGGUUUCCGAUAUGACAUGAAGGAUAGUGAAAUUGUCUACUGUCUGGUGGUCUAUUUUGUCGUCAUAACUUUACUGAAUAUCAUUUUUCUGGGCCACGUGCGAUUUUCCUACGAGUAUCCGUCUG
Molecule: long non-coding RNA, 633 nt
Organism: Orussus abietinus
Lineage: Eukaryota; Metazoa; Arthropoda; Insecta; Hymenoptera; Orussidae
Exons: 3
Source: RefSeq, a predicted model, not a curated record